This 253-nucleotide ribosomal RNA is filed under the name uncultured bacterium. RNAcentral describes it as "partial 16S ribosomal RNA". It matches the Rfam family "Bacterial small subunit ribosomal RNA", at positions 524 to 776 of the family's 1533-position model. The record is from RNAcentral.
UACAGAGGUCCCAAGCGUUGUUCGGAUUCACUGGGCGUAAAGGGUGCGUAGGUGGUUGUGCAAGUCUGAUGUGAAAUCUCCGGGCUCAACCCGGAAAUGGCAUUGGAAACUGCAUGGCUAGAGGGUUGGAGGGGGGACUGGAAUACUUGGUGUAGCAGUGAAAUGCGUAGAUAUCAAGUGGAACACCAGUGGCGAAGGCGGCUCACUGGACAUGUAUUGACGCUGAGGUGCGAAAGCGUGGGGAGCAAACAGG